RNAcentral lists this transfer RNA (84 nucleotides) under Alicyclobacillus sp. RNAcentral describes it as "tRNA-Tyr". It matches the Rfam family "tRNA". Rfam says of the family: Transfer RNA (tRNA) molecules are approximately 80 nucleotides in length. RNAcentral also lists the same sequence under 1 other name. The record is from RNAcentral. Lineage: Bacteria; Bacillati; Bacillota; Bacilli; Caryophanales; Alicyclobacillaceae.
GGAGGGGUACCAAAGCGGCCAACUGGGGCGGACUGUAAAUCCGUUGCGAGAGCUUCGUAGGUUCGAAUCCUACCCCCUCCACCA